Molecule: ribosomal RNA, 490 nt
Filed under: uncultured bacterium
Lineage: Bacteria
Description: partial 16S ribosomal RNA
Rfam family: Bacterial small subunit ribosomal RNA
Source: RNAcentral
AUUGAACGCUGGCGGCAGGCCUAACACAUGCAAGUCGAACGGUAACAGGAAGCAGCUUGCUGCUUUGCUGACGAGUGGCGGACGGGUGAGUAAUGUCUGGGAAACUGCCUGAUGGAGGGGGAUAACUACUGGAAACGGUAGCUAAUACCGCAUAACGUCGCAAGCCCAAAGAGGGGGACCUUCGGGCCUCUUGCCAUCGGAUGUGCCCAGAUGGGAUUAGCUAGUAGGUGGGGUAACGGCUCACCUAGGCGACGAUCCCUAGCUGGUCUGAGAGGAUGACCGGCCACACGGGAGCGGAGACACGGUCAAGACGCCUAAGGGAGGCAGCAGAGGGGAAUAUGGCACAAUGGGCGGAAGCAUGAUGCAGCCAUGCGGCGUGUAUGAAGAAGGCGUUGGGGGUGGAAAGUACGUUCAGCGGGGAGGAAGGGAGUAAAGUUAAGACCUUGGCUCAGUGACGUUACCCGCAGAAGAAGCACCGGCUAACUACGUG